UACAAAAGCAAGCCAACUGCAAGGUUCAUGGCAAAUGAUGGGGUCAUAGUCCUAGGGUAGGGUCAUAGGCCUGCCAUACUGGUCCUACCCAAGGACUACCCCACAUAAAGGACAGGACCCCAAGUCUGCCCCGACUGAGUUAAGGAGUCUCCAUCAUCCAGUCGGCAACAGGUCCUGUAUCAUCCAGUCGGAGACUAGCAUUCGGAAGGUACCAAGCUAACUGACUGGAUACACUCGGUACAUCAUAACCCCUCUGGAGGGAAACGGUCGUACGUUUCCGGGUGCAUUUAUUAGCAUUUAGAGCAUACGUUACC
RNAcentral lists this long non-coding RNA (314 nucleotides) under Hordeum vulgare. RNAcentral's name for it is "long non-coding RNA (HVUL_LNC015304)". Lineage: Eukaryota; Viridiplantae; Streptophyta; Magnoliopsida; Poales; Poaceae. The record is from RNAcentral.